Molecule: ribosomal RNA, 481 nt
Filed under: uncultured Acidobacteriota bacterium
Lineage: Bacteria; Pseudomonadati; Acidobacteriota
Description: bacterial SSU rRNA
Rfam family: Bacterial small subunit ribosomal RNA
Source: RNAcentral
AGAGUUUGAUCAUGGCUCAGAGCGAACGCUGGCGGCGUGCCUAACACAUGCAAGUCGAACGUGAACGGGAGCAAUCCUUAGUAAAGUGGCGUACGGGUGAGUAACACGUGGAUUAUCUACCCUCUUGUGGGGGAUAACUCUGGGAAACCGGAGCUAAUACCGCAUAAGUCCGGGAGGAGAAAGCAGCAAUGCGCAGGAGGAGGAGUCCGCGGCCGAUUAGCUAGUUGGUAGGGUAAAAGCCUACCAAGGCUAAGAUCGGUAGCCGGCCUGAGAGGGCACACGGCCACACUGGCACUGAAACACGGGCCAGACUCCUACGGGAGGCAGCAGUGGGGAAUCUUGCACAAUGGGGGAAACCCUGAUGCAGCGACGCCGCGUGAGCGAUGAAGCCCUUCGGGGUGUAAAGCUCUUUCGGCAGGGAAGAUUAUGACGGUACCUGCAGAAGCAGCUGCGGCUAACUACGUGCCAGCCGCCGCGGUAA